UACGGAGGAUCCAAGCGUUAUCCGGAAUCAUUGGGUUUAAAGGGUCCGUAGGCGGUUUAGUAAGUCAGUGGUGAAAGCCCAUCGCUCAACGGUGGAACGGCCAUUGAUACUGCUAGACUUGAAUUAUUAGGAAGUAACUAGAAUAUGUAGUGUAGCGGUGAAAUGCUUAGAGAUUACAUGGAAUACCAAUUGCGAAGGCAGGUUACUACUAAUGGAUUGACGCUGAUGGACGAAAGCGUGGGUAGCGAACAGGAUUAGAUACCCUGGUAGUCCACGCCGUAAACGAUGGAUACUAGCUGUUCGGAGCAAUCUGAGUGGCUAAGCGAAAGUGAUAAGUAUCCCACCUGGGGAGUACGUUCGCAAGAAUGAAAUUCAAAGGAAUUGACGGGGGCCCGCACAAGCGGUGGAGCAUGUGGUUUAAUUCGAUGAUACGCGAGGAACCUUACCAAGGCUUAAAUGUAGAUUGACCGUUUUGGAAACAGAACUUUCGCAAGACAAUUUACAAGGUGCUGCAUGGUUGUCGUCAGCUCGUGCCGUGAGGUGUCAGGUUAAGUCCUAUAACGAGCGCAACCCCUGUUGUUAGUUGCCAGCGAGUCAUGUCGGGAACUCUAACGAGACUGCCAGUGCAAACUGAGAGGAAGGUG
RNAcentral lists this ribosomal RNA (644 nucleotides) under uncultured Flavobacterium sp. Its description in RNAcentral is "bacterial SSU rRNA". It matches the Rfam family "Bacterial small subunit ribosomal RNA", at positions 524 to 1175 of the family's 1533-position model. Lineage: Bacteria; Pseudomonadati; Bacteroidota; Flavobacteriia; Flavobacteriales; Flavobacteriaceae. The record is from RNAcentral.